Molecule: long non-coding RNA, 1030 nt
Filed under: Phasianus colchicus (ring-necked pheasant)
Lineage: Eukaryota; Metazoa; Chordata; Aves; Galliformes; Phasianidae
Description: lncRNA (ENSPCLG00000003586.1)
Source: RNAcentral
UGUGGAAAUCCUCAUUAGAAUCACCGACUUUAAGGCUGUGAAAUCGUCUCUUCCCAGCGCCGCUAUUUGCAGUGGGAGCACGUGCAGGCUGUGAGCUCCAAGCCCUGUCGUUCAGCAGCCCCACGGCUUUGCUCGGGAGCGGAGGUGUUUCGGCAGUUCACAAAGCUCCCAUCCAUUCUGCAGACAGAUGUGUGUGCCACAGCCACCCUCUGCACAUGCCCGUAAUAGAAGCCAUUAGCUCCGCCGUUCCCCGCGCGCUGCAGCGCAUGGCGGGGAUGCAACGCGUUCCUAAUGCAUGCAGUGUGGACUGGCUAGGACACAAAUAGUGUUGCAGAUUACCAGAGCUAUUUAUCAUUUUAAUGGAACGCCGCGGAAUAUUACAUUGCGCCAUGUGUUUAAAUUGAUAAAUUGUAUUAGGAAAACAUCGGAUGGGAUUUUUAAUGCCCUUUAGGAAAGGGGAAUGGGCUCAAUUGGUGAAGGUGAACUUUAUUAACGGCCCUAAGGAGAGGUGCAGCUGCUGCUCCGUCCCCAUCUGUAUUGCACUGAUGGGAGUCUGGAAAAUGCAACUUCACACUGUACAUCCUCACAGCAGAGCUUCAGCGAGGGAUGAGGGCUGCGUGUGCUGUCCUGUGUGCUGUCUGGGUUGGGGUGCACAACAGUUUGCAUUCCAGCAACGCUUCUCCUAUUUGCCGGCCGCUGCUCCGGGAGGAUCUGCUCCUCCUAAUGGCUCUGCUCCUUGAGUUCAUUAAAUAAUCACCUCACACCAAAUGUGUAUUGUCUGGUUUUGGCCACGGGCGUACCAGAAGUGUAAAAACAAUUUUCAGGCAGCCUGGAAUGUAGUCUGAUUUCUGAUUCUGAUGCUAAUUUAGUGGCAGGCGAGGAGUGGAUGACAAGAGAGGUGCUCUGCCUGCUUUUAACCCUUUCCCCCGUCUUGUCAGUGCUGCUUUCUCCAGCAGCACACUGUGUUGAUGCCCCUGGAGCCGUCCCUGCUCUGUUCUGAAUCCCCUGUCUGCCUUCUGGCAUGGAGCAG